Molecule: ribosomal RNA, 519 nt
Filed under: Betta splendens (Siamese fighting fish)
Lineage: Eukaryota; Metazoa; Chordata; Actinopteri; Anabantiformes; Osphronemidae
Description: partial 16S ribosomal RNA
Rfam family: Bacterial large subunit ribosomal RNA
Source: RNAcentral
GUCCUGCCUGCCCUGUGAUAUAUAUUUAACGGCCGCGGUAUUUUGACCGUGCAAAGGUAGCGCAAUCACUUGUCCUUUAAAUGAAGACCUGUAUGAAUGGCAUGACGAGGGCUUAACUGUCUCCUUUUUCCAAUCAAUGAAAUUGAUCUUCCCGUGCAGAAGCGGGAAUACAACCAUAAGACGAGAAGACCCUAUGGAGCUUUAAACAAAAAUAGAUCUUGUUAAACAUAUCUUAAUUAAAGAAGUGAACCGAAAGAAUCCUAUCAUUNAUGUUUUUGGUUGGGGCGACCGCGGGGAAACAAACAACCCCCAUGUGGACUAAGAAAACAUUUCUCACAAUAAAGAGCCACAGCUCUAAUUAACAGAAUUUCUGACCUANUAGAUCCGGCAAUGCCGAUCAACGGACCGAGUUACCCUAGGGAUAACAGCGCAAUCCUCUUUAAGAGUUCAUAUCGACAAGAGGGUUUACGACCUCGAUGUUGGAUCAGGACACCCUAAUGGUGCAGCAGCUAUUAAGGG